GACGGAGGGGGCAAGCGUUGUCCGGAAUUACUGGGCGUAAAGCGCUCGUAGGCGGUAUCAUACGGCGGUGGUGAAAGCUCCCGGCUCAACUGGGAGAGGCCCGCCGCAACGGUGGUACUUGAGGGUGGUAGAGGCAGAUGGAAUUCCUGGUGUAGCGGUGAAAUGCGUAGAGAUCAGGAGGAACACCCGUGGCGAAGGCGGUCUGCUGGGCCACACCUGACGCUGAGGAGCGAAAGCUAGGGGAGCGAACGGG
RNAcentral lists this ribosomal RNA (253 nucleotides) under uncultured bacterium. RNAcentral's name for it is "partial 16S ribosomal RNA". It matches the Rfam family "Bacterial small subunit ribosomal RNA", at positions 524 to 776 of the family's 1533-position model. The record is from RNAcentral.